CCUACGGGAGGCUGCAGUGAGGAAUAUUGGUCAAUGGCCGAGAGUCUGAACCAGCCAAGUCGCGUGAGGGAAGACUGCCCUACGGGUUGUAAACCUCUUUUGUCGGGGAGCAAUGCGUGCCACGUGUAGUUCAUUGAGUGUACCCGAUGAAAAAGCAUCGGCUAACUCCGUGCCAGCAGCCGCGGUAAUACGGAGGAUGCGAGCGUUAUCCGGAUUUAUUGGGUUUAAAGGGUGCGCAGGCGGAGGUGCAAGUCAGUGGUCAAAUUGCGGGGCUCCACCCUGUACUGCCGUUGAGACUGUAAGACGUGAGUGCGGGCGAGGCAGGCGGAAUACGUGGUGUAGCGGUGAAAUGCAUAGAUAUAACGCAGAACUCCGAUUGCGAAGGCAGCAUACCGGAGCGCAACUGACGCUGAUGCACGAAAGCGUGGGUAGCGAACAGGAUUAGAUACCCGAGUAGUC
RNAcentral lists this ribosomal RNA (459 nucleotides) under uncultured bacterium. RNAcentral describes it as "partial 16S ribosomal RNA". It matches the Rfam family "Bacterial small subunit ribosomal RNA", at positions 338 to 795 of the family's 1533-position model. The record is from RNAcentral.